This 67-nucleotide transfer RNA is filed under the name Tenebrionoidea sp. 10 KM-2017. Its description in RNAcentral is "tRNA-Ala". The record is from RNAcentral. Lineage: Eukaryota; Metazoa; Arthropoda; Insecta; Coleoptera.
AGGAUAAUAGUUUAAUUUAAAACAUUUAAAUUGCAAUUAAAAAAUAUCAAAAGCUUGAUUCAUCUUU